AGAACGAACGCUGGCGGCAGGCCUAACACAUGCAAGUCGAACGCCCCGCAAGGGGAGUGGCAGACGGGUGAGUAACACGUGGGAACGUGCCCAAAGGUACGGAACAACUCCGGGAAACUGGAGCUAAUACCGUAUGUGCCCGAAAGGGGAAAGAUUCAUCGCCUUUGGAUCGGCCCGCGUCUGAUUAGCUAGUUGGCGGGGUAAUGGCCCACCAAGGCGACGAUCAGUAGCUGGUCUGAGAGGAUGACCAGCCACACUGGGACUGAGACACGGCCCAGACUCCGUACGGGAGGCAGCAGGUGGGGAAUAUUGGACAAGUGGGCGCAAGCCUGAUCCAGCCAUGCCGCGUGAGUGAUGAAGGUCCGUUAAGGGUGUAAAGUCUCUUCGCGAGGGACAUAAUGACGGU
Molecule: ribosomal RNA, 406 nt
Filed under: uncultured soil bacterium
Lineage: Bacteria
Description: bacterial SSU rRNA
Rfam family: Bacterial small subunit ribosomal RNA
Source: RNAcentral